AAUGAACGCUGGCGGCGUGCCUAAUACAUGCAAGUCGAGCGAAUGGAUUAAGAGCUUGCUCUUAUGAAGUUAGCGGCGGACGGGUGAGUAACACGUGGGUAACCUGCCCAUAAGACUGGGAUAACUCCGGGAAACCGGGGCUAAUACCGGAUAACAUUUUGAACCGCAUGGUUCAAAAUUGAAAGGCGGCUUCGGCUGUCACUUAUGGAUGGACCCGUGUCGCAUUAGCUAGUUGGUGAGGUAACGGCUCACCAAGGCAACGAUGCGUAGCCGACCUGAGAGGGUGAUCGGCCACACUGGGACUGAGACACGGCCCAGACUCCGACGGGAGGCAGCAGUAGGGAAUCUUCCGCAAUGGACGAAAGUCUGACGGAGCAACGCCGCGUGAGUGAUGAAGGCUUUCGGGUCGUAAAACUCUGUUGUUAGGGAAGAACAAGUGCUAGUUGAAUAAGCUGGCACCUUGACGGUACCUAACCAGAAAGCCACGGCUAACUACGUGCCAGCAGCCGCCGUAA
Molecule: ribosomal RNA, 515 nt
Filed under: uncultured bacterium
Lineage: Bacteria
Description: partial 16S ribosomal RNA
Rfam family: Bacterial small subunit ribosomal RNA
Source: RNAcentral